This 307-nucleotide ribosomal RNA is filed under the name Lithotrya sp. 1 SML-2013. RNAcentral describes it as "partial 12S ribosomal RNA". The record is from RNAcentral. Lineage: Eukaryota; Metazoa; Arthropoda; Thecostraca; Pollicipedomorpha; Lithotryidae. RNAcentral also lists the same sequence under 1 other name.
AAUGGACUUGGCGGCAAGAUAGCUAUUUAGAGGAACCUGCCCUAUAAACGAUGAGCCACGAAUAGCUUUACUUUUGCUAGAGAUCAGUUUGUAUACCGUUGUUGUCAGUAAAUUUUUCAAGAAGAUUUUCAAUUUUGAUAAAUUCAGUGACUUCAAAUAAAGGUGCAGCUUAUGUAAAAGAGAGAGGUGGGUUACAAUUUGUUGGAUAAAAACGGAAAAUUAUUUUAAAAAAUAAUUGGAAGGUGGAUUUAAUGGUAAGUUUUUGAGGAUUUGAUUGUAGCACUGUCUUGUGUACACACCGCCCGUC